This 449-nucleotide ribosomal RNA is filed under the name Burkholderiaceae bacterium L591_RCm. RNAcentral describes it as "bacterial SSU rRNA". It matches the Rfam family "Bacterial small subunit ribosomal RNA", at positions 909 to 1356 of the family's 1533-position model. Lineage: Bacteria; Pseudomonadati; Pseudomonadota; Betaproteobacteria; Burkholderiales; Burkholderiaceae. The record is from RNAcentral.
AUUGANGGGGACCCGCACAACCCGGUGGAUGAUGUGGAUUAAUUCGAUGCAACGCGAAAAACCUUACCUACCCNUGACAUGGUCAGGACCCCUGCUGAAAGGUGGGGGUGCCCGAAAGGGAACUGAUACACAGGUGCUGCAUGCCUGUCGUCAGCUCGUGUCGUGAGAUGUUGGGNUAAGUCCCGCAACGAGCGCAACCCUUGUCCCUAGUUGCUACGCAAGAGCACUCUAGGGGAGACUGCCGGUGACAAACCGGAGGAAGGUGGGGAUGACGUCAAGUCCUCAUGGCCCUUAUGGGUAGGGCUUCACACGUCAUACAAUGGUCGGAACAGAGGGUUGCCAAGCCGCCGAGNUGGACGCCAAUCCCAGAAAACCGAUCGUAGUCCGGAUCGCACUCUGCAACUCGAGUGCGUGAAGUCUGGAAUCGCUAGUAAUCGCGGAUCAGCAUG